Molecule: ribosomal RNA, 1322 nt
Filed under: uncultured bacterium
Lineage: Bacteria
Description: bacterial SSU rRNA
Rfam family: Bacterial small subunit ribosomal RNA
Source: RNAcentral
AGGAUGAACGCUGGCGGCGUGCCUAACACAUGCAAGUCGAACGAAGCACCAGAUCGGAAUCUUCGGAGGAAGAUCUGGUGACUGAGUGGCGGACGGGUGAGUAACGCGUGGGUAACCUGCCCUGUACAGGGGGAUAACAGUUGGAAACGGCUGCUAAUACCGCAUAAGCGCACGAAGGGACAUCCCUUUGUGUGAAAAACUCCGGUGGUACAGGAUGGGCCCGCGUCUGAUUAGCUGGUUGGCAGGGUAACGGCCUACCAAGGCGACGAUCAGUAGCCGGUCUGAGAGGAUGAACGGCCACAUUGGAACUGAGACACGGUCCAAACUCCUACGGGAGGCAGCAGUGGGGAAUAUUGCACAAUGGGGGAAACCCUGAUGCAGCAACGCCGCGUGAGUGAAGAAGUAUCUCGGUAUGUAAAGCUCUAUCAGCAGGGAAGAUAAUGACGGUACCUGACUAAGAAGCUCCGGCUAAAUACGUGCCAGCAGCCGCGGUAAUACGUAGGGGGCAAGCGUUAUCCGGAAUGAUUGGGCGUAAAGGGUGCGUAGGUGGCAGAUCAAGUCUGGAGUAAAAGGUAUGGGCUCAACCCGUACUGGCUCUGGAAACUGAUCAGCUAGAGAACAGAAGAGGACGGCGGAACUCCAUGUGUAGCGGUAAAAUGCGUAGAUAUAUGGAAGAACACCGGUGGCGAAGGCGGCCGUCUGGUCUGGAUACUGACACUGAAGCACGAAAGCGUGGGGAGCAAAUAGGAUUAGAUACCCUAGUAGUCCACGCCGUAAACGAUGAGAACUAGGUGUUGGGGGAAUAACUCAGUGCCGCAGUUAGCGCAGUAAGUUCUCCGCCUGGGGAGUAUGCACGCAAGUGUGAAACUCAAAGGAAUUGACGGGGGCCCGCACAAGCGGUGGAGUAUGUGGUUUAAUUCGAAGCAACGCGAAGAACCUUACCAGGCCUUGACAUCCCUUGCAGAGGUAUAGAGAUAUAUCCGAGGUUAUCAAGGAGACAGGUGGUGCAUGGUUGUCGUCAGCUCGUGUCGUGAGAUGUUGGGUUAAGUCCCGCAACGAGCGCAACCCCUAUUGUUAGUUGCUACGCAAGAGCACUCUAGCGAGACUGCCGUUGACAAAACGGAGGAAGGUGGGGACGACGUCAAAUCAUCAUGCCCCUUAUGUCCUGGGCUACACACGUAAUACAAUGGCGGUCAACAGAGGGAUGCAAAACCGUAAGGUGGAGCGAACCCCUAAAAGCCGUCCCAGUUCAGAUCGUGGGCUGCAACCCACCCACGUGAAGUCGGAAUCGCUAGUAAUCGCGGAUCAGCAUGCCGCGGUGA